ACGUAUCUACUGAACGGGGUCGGGUGGCCCUGCUCCGGCCCUUGCCGUGCAGCGGGUCCCCUUCCCUGUACAAACCACAAACCCCUGUGCACCUUUCGCGGUGGGAGGAUGCGGCGCGAGCCCGUCCAGACGCUGCGGUCACAUACACGAGUUUAAAGAAUGUCAAGCGGACACUGUUUCCGCCCACAAAUAAAA
Molecule: unclassified non-coding RNA, 195 nt
Filed under: uncultured Basidiomycota
Lineage: Eukaryota; Fungi; Basidiomycota
Description: sequence contains ITS1
Source: RNAcentral